GACGAACGCUGGCGGCGUGCUUAACACAUGCAAGUCGAACGCUGAAGCUCAGCUUUUGUUGGGUGGAUGAGUGGCGAACGGGUGAGUAACACGUGAGUAACCUGCCCCCUUCUUUGGGAUAACGCCCGGAAACGGGUGCUAAUACUGGAUAUUCACUGGUCUUCGCAUGGGGGUUGGUGGAAAGGGUUUUUCUGGUGGGGGAUGGGCUCGCGGCCUAUCAGCUUGGUGGUGGGGUGAUGGCCUACCAAGGCUUUGACGGGUAGCCGGCCUGAGAGGGUGACCGGUCACAGUGGGACUGAGAUACGGCCCAGACUCCGACGGGAGGCAGAAGUGGGGAAUAUUGCACAAUGGGCGCAAGCCUGAUGCAGCGACGCCGCGUGAGGGAUGGAGGCCUUCGGGUUGUGAACCUCUUUCGCUCAUGGUCAAGCCGAAACAAUGGUUGUGGUGAGGGUAGUGGGUAAAGAAGCGCCGGCUAACUACGUG
This 483-nucleotide ribosomal RNA is filed under the name uncultured bacterium. RNAcentral describes it as "partial 16S ribosomal RNA". It matches the Rfam family "Bacterial small subunit ribosomal RNA", at positions 28 to 507 of the family's 1533-position model. The record is from RNAcentral.